This 921-nucleotide ribosomal RNA is filed under the name uncultured bacterium. Its description in RNAcentral is "bacterial SSU rRNA". It matches the Rfam family "Bacterial small subunit ribosomal RNA", at positions 8 to 925 of the family's 1533-position model. The record is from RNAcentral.
AGAGUUUGAUCCUGGCUCAGAUUAGAACGCUGGCGGUAUGCUUAACACAUGCAAGUCGAACGGUAGCAGGCCUUCGGGCGCUGACGAGUGGCGGACGGGUGAGUAACGCGUAGGAAUCUGCCUUAUAGUGGGGGACAACGUGGGGAAACCCACGCUAAUACCGCAUACGCCCUACGGGGGAAAGGAGGGGCUCUUCGGACCUUUCGCUAUGAGAUGAGCCUGCGUUAGAUUAGCUAGUUGGUAGGGUAAAGGCCUACCAAGGCGACGAUCUAUAGCUGGUCUGAGAGGACGAUCAGCCACACUGGGACUGAGACACGGCCCAGACUCCUACGGGAGGCAGCAGUGGGGAAUAUUGGACAAUGGGCGCAAGCCUGAUCCAGCAAUACCGCGUGUGUGAAGAAGGCCCUAGGGUUGUAAAGCACUUUCAAUGGGGAGGAAAACCUGCCGGCCAAUACCCGGUAGCUUGACAUUACCCAUAGAAGAAGCACCGGCUAACUCCGUGCCAGCAGCCGCGGUAAUACGGAGGGUGCGAGCGUUAAUCGGAAUUACUGGGCGUAAAGCGUGCGUAGGCGGUCCGUUAAGUCAGAUGUGAAAGCCCUGGGCUCAACCUGGGAACUGCAUUUGAAACUGGCGGACUAGAGUUUAGUAGAGGGGAGUGGAAUUUCAGGUGUAGCGGUGAAAUGCGUAGAUAUCUGAAGGAACACCAGUGGCGAAGGCGACUCCCUGGACUAAAACUGACGCUGAGGUACGAAAGCGUGGGUAGCAAACAGGAUUAGAUACCCUGGUAGUCCACGCCGUAAACGAUGUCGACUAGCCGUUGGUCCUAUAUACAGGAUUAGUGGCGCAGCUAACGCAUUAAGUCGACCGCCUGGGGAGUACGGCCGCAAGGUUAAAACUCAAAUGAAUUGACGGGGGCCCGCA